UAUUUUAUGCUUAGUAGUAAUAGUUUAUAUAUGUCAAUCCCAAUCUUCUAAUUCAUCUCGUCCCUUUCCCCCCUUGCUAUCCUACACUUGUUCUCUGUGUCUCUGUUUCUGCUUUGUAAAUAAGAUCGUCUGAGGCAGUGUCCUUAAUACAGGCUUUAGCUUCAGACAGGACAGACGUAGCAGACUGUCUCCGUCAUCAGUCAAGCGUAUGACUGUAGAUAGGUUGCUUAAGCUCUUGGAGCCCUACUUACUUAUCUGCCAAAUGAGGAUUGUAUUCUUUCUCUUCCCCCUUGCCUUCUCUUCCCUCUUUCCUCCUUUCACAAGCACUUACUGACCACUUCAUGUCAGACACCAAGGGGAUACAAGACAAAAUAAUAUAGGGAUGGUCUUUGUUCUCCUGGAACUAUUUUAAGAUUUGGAAGGAUGAUGAGAAUGAGUAUGGUGAGGAAACAAAAUGUGAGAUAGCUAGAUGAGAGAUGGAUAGGACUGGAGAGAUAUUAUUCACUAAAUGAGUUCGAAUUGAGAGAGGCUAAGGGAAUGUGAUUGCCUUUAUUUUAUUUACUUCUGGCUGCACUGAAUCUUCGUUGCUGUGCAUGGGCUUUCUCUAACGGCGGUGAGCAGGGCCUGCUCUUCAUUGCAGGGCACGGCCUUCUCACUACAGUGGCAUGUGGGCUCACGGCACACGCGGACCCAGGAGUCGUGGCUCUCGUGUUCAGGAGCUAUGGCACACAGGCUUAGCUGCUCCAUGGCAUGUGGGAUCUUCCUGGACUAGGGAUGGAGCCCAUGUUCCCUGCAGUGGUGGAUCCUUAUCCACUGUACCAUGAGAGAAGUCCAUGAUUCCUUUGAAAAUGUCUGAUUGAUUACCAAUGGAAGAGAAAGAGAAAAAGAAAGAAUGAGAUAGGAGAGGAAUGAAAAGGAAAUAGGAGAUGUGGAUGCAAAUGAAAAGAGAAAGUACAGAACAGGGGAGAUGAAAAACAGGCUGGUGGGUUUAAGCUGGUGAGUUAGCUGAGCUGUAUGUAGAUUUAUCAUCAGGAUAUAAAAGUGUUGCUAAAUUGUAGCUGGAAAUGUGGUUAGUAAACCUCCCAGUCCAGUACUCUCAACUCACUCAUUGCUGGACCCUGUGAGCUGUCUUCCCUGUCCUUCUGGCUUAGAAUUUCUGAGAGAAUAUAAAGAGACAGGAAGACCAAGGAUAACUCAAAGAUUGGGGGCUUGUGUGACCAGAGUAAUAAUGAUAUCACUCAUAGAAACAGAAAAAUGAGCCAUAGAAAUUAGGUCUCAAGUUUGGUUUAAAACCUAAGUUUCAGCUAUGAGCAGCUUGUCCAGGUGGAGCUGGAGGUUGGAAUGUGAUUUGGGGCAAAGGUCCCUUUAGAAACAUGCAUCUGAAAAAUGCACUUUGCGAUCAUGAAAUCAGAUAGUUCCUGAGGGAAAGAACAGAGACAAAGGUAAACCAAAGAGCAAAUACUGAAUUGGAGGGUUGUCACUUGGGGGUGACUAGGUUCCUUCAGGUCACAGGAGGAGGAAGGGCUACAACCAAUGGAAACUGGAGUUGCCCAUGAAAGAAGAGCCAAAGGAGUAUCAUAUCAGUGAAUCCAAGAGAAGAAAUUUCAAGAGAAGGAUGGCAAGUGACCACUGUGGAAAACAAUACUGUGGACGGAUUAAAGAUGCUAAGAACAAAGGGACGAGCCAUUGGAUAUGAGGGGGCUGGCCUCCAUCAUGUUUGUGGACAUCUGAGACACUGCCGCAGCUUCGUAAUGACUCCUGAAAGGGAAACAGGGUAGUUUCAGUGAUCAUACAGGCGUCUCACCCAAGUGGAAAAUUCCUGUGCCUGACAUGUGCCAGCAGAUGGGACUUCCCAGCCCUCCUUUGGUCACCCAAGAUGCACAGCAACUUGCUGCAAACUCAGACCCCUGAGAGGUGAGGAAGAGGAGGACAGUAUGCGUGGUGUUCCUCUAGCCUGUAAGUCUUGAUGCCCUUGCAUCAUAAACAGCAUCCUCACCGAUAAGGCAAAAUGAAACACUGAAGUCUUAACUUACGCAACUCAGCAUGGGUGCAAAGGACGUGUCUCACUGAGGGACACGCAGAGGGAUUACACAACACGCUCUGUACACUGAGACGACACAUGAUAUGGCAGCCUCUCCUCAGCUCCAGCAGUUAACCACUCACCAAUCUCUGCUGUCCUUUAUUUUCCUCCCUGCCGUCCUUCUAUGAACUUUUUAAAGCCCAAGGAUACCCUAGAAUGUAUUGACACAGACAACUGCGAAUGAGUUACUGCUCAGUUCUCUGACAUCGUCCUUCUCAGGAUCAAGGACAAGAUCUCAUGUCCUUCCUGAGGUAGAAAAUGGCCACAAGUCUUAAUACAUUCCAGGCAAUAACCCUGGACUCCUAAAGUGAGUAUUUGUACAUAUCUCAUCAUUUUGAUUGGCUGUAUGAAUCCCAGUUCCUCUGUUUAAGAUUCAGAAACAUAAAAUGGGAUUUGGGUCUAUUGCUUAGAACAAUGCUGUUGAAAUUCCCAGACACCCUCUUUGUCAUUUAAAGAGGAAAAAUAUCAUAAAUAAGGGCUUUGUCAAAUACUGCUUGCUUGAUUAAAAGGAAAAACUCAUGUUUCUUGUAAAAAUUGGUUUUCACUGAAGUCUUCUUUCUAAACAAAAGAUACUUCUAGAGUUUUAGGAAAAUGGUUUAUCUCUAGAUGACUGUGGUAUUAUUUUCUUUAUGCUCAGUCGCUUUGUUGUAUCCAACUUUUUGUGACCCUUUCUUUAUGCUAGGUUUUUACAAAAUAAAAAAAACUUGGUUGACAUAUAGACUACUAAUCUCAUAGCAGGAGUAAAAGACCGUUAUUUCUUUUAUCUGUUAAAUUAACGUUAGUGGGGUUUUUUGCUCAUUUUUAAAAAUUAUAGUUGAUGUAAAAUAUUCUAUGUUACGGAUUUGCAAUAUCGUGAUUCAGUUUUUAAAGGCUAUACUCCAUUUAUAGUUAUUACCCUAUACUGCCCCGCCCCCUUCCCUGUCCUAACUGGUAACCACUAGUUUGUUCUCUGUACCAGAGAGUCUGCCUC
Cervus elaphus (red deer) is the source of this 3050-nucleotide RNA transcript. It is a transcript of the gene named SH3 domain-binding protein 1-like, with no coding region annotated. The record is from RefSeq and is a predicted model, not a curated record. The transcript has 4 exons. NCBI's taxonomy places the organism in Eukaryota, Metazoa, Chordata, Mammalia, Artiodactyla, Cervidae.